RNAcentral lists this unclassified non-coding RNA (195 nucleotides) under uncultured Sebacinales. Its description in RNAcentral is "sequence contains ITS2". The record is from RNAcentral. Lineage: Eukaryota; Fungi; Basidiomycota; Agaricomycetes; Sebacinales.
UAAUCUCACCCCGGAAAUUUCGUUUUCGGAGUGGACUUGGACGUUGCCGUGUCUCGGCUCGUCUCGAACGUCUCAGUGUACCCCGCCCGCCGGCGUCGACAGUGUGAUAGGUAUCUUCACUGUGUAAGUCUCUUCGGAGGCGCGCUCUUGGACGUGGGCUUUACGCUUACAACCGUCUUCGGACAACCUUUGACA